UUCUCAGUUCGGAUUGUAGUCUGCAACUCGACUACAUGAAGCUGGAAUCGCUAGUAAUCGUAGAUCAGCAUGCUACGGUGAAUACGUUCCCGGGUCUUGUACACACCGCCCGUCACACCACGAGAGUUUGUAACACCCGAAGCCGGUGGAGUAACCUUUUAGGAGCUAGCCGUCGAAGGUGGGACAAAUGAUUGGGGUGAAGUCGUAACAAGGUAGCCGUAUCGGAAGGUGCGGCUGGAUCACCUCCUUU
Molecule: ribosomal RNA, 250 nt
Filed under: Staphylococcus aureus
Lineage: Bacteria; Bacillati; Bacillota; Bacilli; Caryophanales; Staphylococcaceae
Also listed under: 1 other name
Description: partial 16S ribosomal RNA
Rfam family: Bacterial small subunit ribosomal RNA
Source: RNAcentral